GUGUCCGAUGCUUUUCCGAAACUAGGGUGGUUUGAUUUUCAAGGACAUGAGAAGGAGAUGAAGCAAAC
This 68-nucleotide small RNA is filed under the name Arabidopsis thaliana (thale cress). RNAcentral's name for it is "ATSL233620". Lineage: Eukaryota; Viridiplantae; Streptophyta; Magnoliopsida; Brassicales; Brassicaceae. The record is from RNAcentral.